GACGAACGCUGGCGGCGUGCCUAAUACAUGCAAGUAGAACGCUGAAGGAGGAGCUUGCUUCUCUGGAUGAGUUGCGAACGGGUGAGUAACGCGUAGGUAACCUGCCUGGUAGCGGGGGAUAACUAUUGGAAACGAUAGCUAAUACCGCAUAAUAGUAGAUGUUGCAUGACAUUUGCUUAAAAGGUGCAAUUGCAUCACUACCAGAUGGACCUGCGUUGUAUUAGCUAGUUGGUGAGGUAACGGCUCACCAAGGCGACGAUACAUAGCCGACCUGAGAGGGUGAUCGGCCACACUGGGACUGAGACACGGCCCAGACUCCUACGGGAGGCAGCAGUAGGGAAUCUUCGGCAAUGGACGGAAGUCUGAACGAGCAACGCCGCGGGAGUGAAGAAGGGUUUCGGAUCGUAAAGCUCUGUUGUAAGAGAAGAACGAGUGUGAGAGUGGAAAGUUCACACUGUGACGGUAUCUUACCAGAAAGGGACGGCUAACUACGUG
Molecule: ribosomal RNA, 495 nt
Filed under: uncultured bacterium
Lineage: Bacteria
Description: partial 16S ribosomal RNA
Rfam family: Bacterial small subunit ribosomal RNA
Source: RNAcentral